UAGGGAAUCUUCCACAAUGGACGCAAGUCUGAUGGAGCAACGCCGCGUGAGUGAAGAAGGUUUUCGGACCGUAAAGCUCUGUUGUUGGUGAAGAAGGAUAGAGGUAGUAACUGGCCUUUAUUUGACGGUAAUCAACCAGAAAGUCACGGCUAACUACGUGCCAGCAGCCGCGGUAAUACGUAGGUGGCAAGCGUUGUCCGGAUUUAUUGGGCGUAAAGCGAGCGCAGGCGGAAGAAUAAGUCUGAUGUGAAAGCCCUCGGCUUAACCGAGGAAUUGCAUCGGAAACUGUUUUCUUGAGUGCAGAAGAGGAGAGUAGAACUCCAUGUGUAGCGGUGGAACGCGUAGAUAUAUGGAAGAAUACCAGUGGCGAAGGCGGCUCUCUGGUCUGCAACUGACGCUGAGGCUCGAAAGCAUGGGUAGCGAACAGGAUUAGAUACCCUGGUAGUCCAUGCCGUAAACGAUGAGUGCUAAGUGUUGGGAGGCUUCCGCCUCUCAGUGCUGCAGCUAACGCAUUAAGCACUCCGCCUGGGGGAGUACGACCGCAAGGUUGAAACUUUAAAGUGAAUUGA
Molecule: ribosomal RNA, 569 nt
Filed under: uncultured bacterium
Lineage: Bacteria
Description: partial 16S ribosomal RNA
Rfam family: Bacterial small subunit ribosomal RNA
Source: RNAcentral